GAUGUCAUGUGAAAAUAUAUUACGUUCAGAGCGUGUGUUAAUUUCUCUUCCGUUGCAACGCACGGGCUCUUUUGCUAGUAGUCUCUAAAAAUCCCUCCUGUUUUUUUACAUGAGACUAAAAGAGACUUUUUUAAUCCCUACAUUAAAAAGUCCUUAAAAAGAAACACACUCUAAAAUUUACUCUAGGCUUCACCGCCGGCUGGCCACUGCGGGUGAAUUCCAUUUAAUAACCCCGUGCGGAAAGCCAUGGAACGCGGCGAUGUGUCAGCGCAGGCGGAGCGCGGGUCGAGACCGUCCCCAUCUCCUCCUCCUGUACGCGCCUCAGCAGGAUCCACGCGAUGCGCGCGCGGGUUACGAGGGCCACGGGGGGGCAGCGGCACAUGGCGCGCCAUCACUCUCGCGCUGCUCGAUCAGCCGCGCCCCGCGCCGGUGCCGGGCCUGCUUUGGUUUAGCCACCAAGUAGACCAGCGGUAGUCGAUCGCAGGCACGCCACCGCUCUGUCUGCUACGAUCGCAGCGAGCGAGCAGAAUGCUAUCAGAUUAUCGGGCAGGGCAGCGGUCUGGGUGGGGUGGGGUGAGUAGAACGAGAU
This 589-nucleotide long non-coding RNA is filed under the name Hordeum vulgare. RNAcentral describes it as "long non-coding RNA (HVUL_LNC015316)". The record is from RNAcentral. Lineage: Eukaryota; Viridiplantae; Streptophyta; Magnoliopsida; Poales; Poaceae.